AAUAAAGUGCCUGAUUAAAGGAUUAUCUUGAUAGGAUAAAUAAAGUAAUUGAUAUUACCUUUAUUA
Molecule: transfer RNA, 66 nt
Filed under: Coscineuta sp. OR249
Lineage: Eukaryota; Metazoa; Arthropoda; Insecta; Orthoptera; Acrididae
Description: tRNA-Ile
Source: RNAcentral